Molecule: ribosomal RNA, 442 nt
Filed under: uncultured bacterium
Lineage: Bacteria
Description: partial 16S ribosomal RNA
Rfam family: Bacterial small subunit ribosomal RNA
Source: RNAcentral
CCUACGGGUGGCAGCAGUGGGGAAUAUUGGGCAAUGGGCGCAAGCCUGACCCAGCAACGCCGCGUGAAGGAAGAAGGCUUUCGGGUUGUAAACUUCUUUUAAGGGGGAAGAGGAGAAGACGGUACCCCUUGAAUAAGCCACGGCUAACUACGUGCCAACAGCCGCGGGAAUACGUAGGUGGCAAGCGUUGUCCGGAUUUACUGGGUGUAAAGGGCUUGCAGCGGGGAGGACAAGUCUGAUGUGAAAUCCAGGGGCUCUAACGCGGAACUGCAUUUGAAACUGUUUUUCUUGAGUACCGGAGAGGUCAGCGGAAUACCUUGUGUAGCGGUGAAAUGCGUAGAUAUAAGGAAGAACACCGGUGGCGAAGGCGGAUGACUGGACGGCUACUGACGGUGAGGCGCGAAAGCGUGGGGAGCAAACAGGAUUAGAUACCCGUGUAGUC